GAAACCACUUCAGGUCGCAGUACAUGUACCUCGUGUAAUAUUUUUGCACAGACAGUUUCUUAUGGGUCGUGUGGUUGGGAGCUAGCCCACUACCCCCGCAACUCCUUUUCUUCUUGGGUUUCUGAUGGAGUGUGUCGGCAGUGAGCGGUUGGGGAAUCGGAACUUGGGCAGCGGCGAGCGGGUGGGCGUUCGGCGGCGAGAGGUAGGGAGGCUUGGUGUCCAAGCGAGCGGCGAGAGGUAGGCGUGCUCUGCGCUGACUGUGUUAGCGUCCUCGUCGGCGGGUGAAAUCAGCAGUCACGUGGUCGGUCGUCCGAAGCGGCGGCAAUGGCGGCGUGGUGUGAUUGGCUUCAACAGAACUUACAUCCACUCGAGCGGAAGGGGACGAGCGGCCGUUGGGUGGCGAUAGCUGGUGACUUCGGCGGCCUCACCCUCAGAUUCUGUGUGUACUGGCGCAUCCCCUGCAAUUGCAAGGUACAUGAAGCUUUUGCUCAUGUUUAAUCAGCGUGCACGAAUUUCAUUAUGGCCUCCGCAAAACCAGAUAUGUGCACUUUUUUCUUUGUCAGCCAAGAUUGAACACAAAUUUGCAUAGAUGAGGCUAUAUGGUCCGAUAUGUCAGAUUGGAUGAUGUCAGGGACAAAUCGAAAAUAACUUAUGCCUCCAGAUUAGACCUACGGCUGCCUCAAAUUCAGCUACCAUUCUUUCUAUGUAUGCCCAUAAACAGAGCUACUAAUCCUGUUGUGUACUUGUGUCAUUGUGUGUGUGUCUAUGAUUCCUCAGGUCUCAGGUCAGUCCGAGGCAAUGGCGGCGUGGUGACCGCGUCAGCAGCCUGGCCGGUCCGCGCGGCGGGUGGUGGCUGAGAGUGGCCUCAGCAUCGGCGCAGGGGGUGGUGGUUGCGGAUUGCAUCGCAGUGAGUGGCAGACCCCCUGAGCUAUGUUGUGGGUCGAUUCACGGCGAGCGGAGAACGCCGGUGAACUUCGACGUUAGGAAGGCCACCACCAACAUUAGUAGGCAAUGGUUUUGAGUCCCUCAAAGAUUUGUCCAGGUCGAGGAAAUCCUAGAACAAGGUUGUUCCUUACGCUAAUGUCUUCCAUGGAACCCAACCACCGAAGAGCAGCAGGAGAAAUAAACAUUUAAGUUCCAAGCUACUUUCUUCUUUGAAGUUCCACCGGACAAAUAAGUGUGUCAGAUUCUUCUUGUAGUCUUGUUAGCGGCUUUGCUCUGCAGGAAAUCUUCGUAUGUGACAUAAGUUUGAUGGAAUCUAAUCUUAUAUGCAAUGCUUCCCUUGGCGUGAGCAAGUGCUCAUGUGGUGAGGCUUUGGCUCUGUCUUUCAAGUACAGCGUGUUGACCUUGAUCGUUGGAGAGUCAGCUUCAUUGUAACAUUGACCCGACAGAGACGAAUCAGCAUAGCUCGCCUGCAUCAUCUUACAUGAUUUGAAUCAAACCAGGCCUUUACCCGAUUAUUUGGGGAAGUUCAGACCGAUGAAAAUCCAUAUCUAAAAAACUUGAUUUGAAGCUCCCCUUGUACAUACUCUCCCUAAAACAAACUGCACUCUUGUAUAUAGCUGAAUAUCUUUAUUCUCAUGUCCUGUCCAUGUAAUGUACUACUUGCUUAUGAAUGCUUCCUUCUAUUGGAGUCAUCUAGCAGAUCAUAUCCGGAAUUGUUGUACUGCAAGAAUGAUCGAUGUCACCUAAGUGACAUUUUGUAAUUCACAUUUUUUUAUGUCCCAUCGUAUACCAUAUUUUACA
Lolium perenne is the source of this 1746-nucleotide long non-coding RNA. RefSeq lists it as uncharacterized. The record is from RefSeq and is a predicted model, not a curated record. Lineage: Eukaryota; Viridiplantae; Streptophyta; Magnoliopsida; Poales; Poaceae.